GUGUAAUUUAUUUGACUUUGACAAGAAUUCUUAACAAAUCCGAUAAUUUUGGACUGUUCGAACAUCUUUAUCACUGUGUCUGGCAUGUUUUACAUCUUAUAAAGUUUGCGCCUAGUAUGUAUCCAAAAUACUUUGUGCAUUGCUUUUACACUAAAACUAUAUUCUAUUUUAGUCCCUUAAUGUCUGUACUACCUCUUUUCCACUUGAAUCUGAAAUUUCCAGGUUUUUUUUAAUUUUUUACUUUAACUGCACCUGCAACCAGAAAUAGUUGUUGGCAAUGCGUAUUUCAAUAAUAAACACGAUCAGUAGUUAUAUGCCCUCAGGAUAACACAAU
Molecule: long non-coding RNA, 334 nt
Filed under: Mytilus galloprovincialis (Mediterranean mussel)
Lineage: Eukaryota; Metazoa; Mollusca; Bivalvia; Mytilida; Mytilidae
Source: RNAcentral